CCGCCCGUCACACCAUGGGAGUCAAUUGCUCCAGAAGUCGGCGUGCCAACCGCAAGGAGGCAGCCGCCCAAGGAGUGAUUGGUGACUGGGGUGAAGUCGUAACAAGGUACCC
This 112-nucleotide ribosomal RNA is filed under the name uncultured bacterium. RNAcentral describes it as "partial 16S ribosomal RNA". It matches the Rfam family "Bacterial small subunit ribosomal RNA", at positions 1390 to 1501 of the family's 1533-position model. The record is from RNAcentral.